This 553-nucleotide ribosomal RNA is filed under the name Squalius cephalus (European chub). RNAcentral's name for it is "partial 16S ribosomal RNA". It matches the Rfam family "Bacterial large subunit ribosomal RNA", at positions 1845 to 2596 of the family's 2925-position model. Lineage: Eukaryota; Metazoa; Chordata; Actinopteri; Cypriniformes; Leuciscidae. The record is from RNAcentral.
AUAGGAGGUCCAGCCUGCCCAGUGACUACGGGUUCAACGGCCGCGGUAUUUUGACCGUGCAAAGGUAGCGCAAUCACUUGUCUCUUAAAUAGAGACCUGUAUGAAUGGCUAGACGAGGGCUUAACUGUCUCCCCCUUCCAGUCAGUGAAAUUGAUCUAUCCGUGCAGAAGCGGGUAUAAUUAUACAAGACGAGAAGACCCUUUGGAGCUUAAGGUACAAAAUUCAACCACGUUAAACGACUCUACAUGAAGCAAGAACUUAGUGGCGAAUGAAAUUUUACCUUCGGUUGGGGCGACCGCGGAGGAGAAAGAAGCCUCCGAGUGGACUGGGCUAAUCCCCAAAGCCAAGAGAUACAUCUAUAAGCCGCAGAACAUCUGACCAAAAAUGAUCCGACUGAUAAAGCCGAUCAACGAACCAAGUUACCCUAGGGAUAACAGCGCAAUCCUCUCCCAGAGUCCAUAUCGACGAGGGGGUUUACGACCUCGAUGUUGGAUCAGGACAUCCUAAUGGUGCAGCCGCUAUUAAGGGUUCGUUUGUUCAACGAUUAAAGUCC